AGACUUCAUUCUGAAUACUUUUAUAUAGUGUGCAUGUUUGCAGGGUCAUGUACUUUUGUCCAGUGCAUUUCAGAGGUGCUUUUUAUGAGGUGCUUUCUUUUCAUCUUUAUUGUAUUUUUCCCUACACAAGUUUUUGUUUACUAAUGUCCGCUCAUCCUUUUAUGUCUGCUUUGUGGGCUUCAGGGGCAGACAUGUAAGCCUAUUUAUAUUGCACAUGAUUUCUGCUCGAUUCCUGAAAUAUCAAGAAACACGGGAUGGCACACAUUAAGGCACAGCCACCAUCAUCUCUGUGUGACUCUUCUUUCCCUCCUGUGAUAACCCCUUCUGUCACAAGUACCAGUCAGAUGAGUCUCCAAAUCUCCCUGAACGGGUCUGCCAAGGAAUUAACCAUGAAUAAUAAUCCAAUUGAUCUCCUGGUGGAUUCUGCUUCCCCUGUUUCUACACCAGGCAUUGGAACUGAAGAUGGGAAAGCAAAGUUCUUGGAAGCUCCCCUCCAUGACAACAUGACAAACCCCAAUGUGUUUGGUGAAUGAGUUAGCCCGCUUUAACAGAAUUCAGCCCCAAUAUAAACUUUUGGAUGAAAGGGGACCAGCGCACUCCAAGUUAUUUACUGUUCAGUUGACUCUGGGAGAGCAAACAUGGCAAGCUGAAAGUACAAGCAUUAAGAAGGCUCAACAUGCUGCUGCCAGCCUGGCCCUCUCUGAAACCACACUCCCCAAGCCUGCAGCUAGGCACAGCAAAAACCACAUGAACAAUAACCC
This is an RNA transcript of Xenopus laevis (African clawed frog), 761 nucleotides long. It is a transcript of the gene named double-stranded RNA-binding protein Staufen homolog 2-like, with no coding region annotated. The transcript has 4 exons. NCBI's taxonomy places the organism in Eukaryota, Metazoa, Chordata, Amphibia, Anura, Pipidae. The record is from RefSeq and is a predicted model, not a curated record.